RNAcentral lists this ribosomal RNA (406 nucleotides) under uncultured Oscillospiraceae bacterium. RNAcentral describes it as "bacterial SSU rRNA". It matches the Rfam family "Bacterial small subunit ribosomal RNA", at positions 354 to 776 of the family's 1533-position model. Lineage: Bacteria; Bacillati; Bacillota; Clostridia; Eubacteriales; Oscillospiraceae. The record is from RNAcentral.
GUCGGGAAUAUUGCACAAUGGAGGAAACUCUGAUGCAGUGACGCCGCGUGCAGGAAGAAGGUUUUCGGAUUGUAAACUGCUUUAGAUAGGGAAGAUAAAAGACUGUACCUAUAGAAUAAGCUCCGGCUAACUACGUGCCAGCAGCCGCGGUAAUACGUAGGGAGCAAGCGUUAUCCGGAUUUAUUGGGUGUAAAGGGUGCGUAGACGGGCUAACAAGUUAGUUGUGAAAUCCCUCGGCUCAACUGAGGAACUGCAACUAAAACUAUUAGUCUUGAGUGCGGGAGAGGAAAGUGGAAUUCCUAGUGUAGCGGUGAAAUGCGUAGAUAUUAGGAGGAACACCAGUGGCGAAGGCGACUUUCUGGACCGUAACUGACGUUGAGGCACGAAAGUGUGGGGAGCAAACAGG